GACGAACGCUGGCGGCGUGCCUAAUACAUGCAAGUAGAACGCAGUUGCGAACGGGUGAGUAACGCGUAGGUAACUGCCUCAUAGCGGGGGAUAACUAUUGGAAACGAUAGCUAAUACCUCCUACUGUGAGAUGGACCUGCGUUGUAUUAGCUAGUUGGUGAGGUAAAGGCUCACCACGGCGACGAUACAUAGCCGACCUGAGAGGGGGAGAGGACACACUGGGACGUAGGAACGGCCCAGACGCCGACGGGAGGCAGAAGGAGGGAAUCGUCGGGAAGGGACGGAAGGCUGACCGAGAAACGCGGCGGGAGUGAAGAAGGGGUUCGGGUCGGAAAGCUCUGUUGGUAGAGAAGCGGUAACUAACGAGAAAGGGACGGCUAACUACGUGCCAGCAGCCGCGGUAAGAC
RNAcentral lists this ribosomal RNA (407 nucleotides) under uncultured bacterium. Its description in RNAcentral is "partial 16S ribosomal RNA". It matches the Rfam family "Bacterial small subunit ribosomal RNA", at positions 28 to 526 of the family's 1533-position model. The record is from RNAcentral.